GACCGCUUCCCCCUCCCGACAGGGUGGAGCUCAGCCCAUACGGACAGGCGGGUCGAAAGCCGA
Molecule: small RNA, 63 nt
Filed under: bovine gut metagenome
Also listed under: 1 other name
Description: Streptococcus sRNA SpF59 (ldcC RNA)
Rfam family: Streptococcus sRNA SpF59 (ldcC RNA)
Source: RNAcentral